RNAcentral lists this ribosomal RNA (253 nucleotides) under uncultured bacterium. Its description in RNAcentral is "partial 16S ribosomal RNA". It matches the Rfam family "Bacterial small subunit ribosomal RNA", at positions 524 to 776 of the family's 1533-position model. The record is from RNAcentral.
UACGUAGGUGGCAAGCGUUGUCCGGAAUUAUUGGGCGUAAAGCGCGCGCAGGCGGCCUCUUAAGUCUGAUGUGAAAGCCCCCGGCUCAACCGGGGAGGGCCAUUGGAAACUGGGAGGCUUGAGUAUAGGAGAGAAGAGUGGAAUUCCACGUGUAGCGGUGAAAUGCGUAGAGAUGUGGAGGAACACCAGUGGCGAAGGCGACUCUUUGGCCUAUAACUGACGCUGAGGCACGAAAGCGUGGGGAGCAAACAGG